UUGAUUUUGAUUUGUUACCUUCUGUGCUGGCUCCUGCAUAUGCACGUUGGUGACUUUCAUACAAUACCCUCUUGUGAACCUUUGGCCUCAUGCUGGCUUUGGCUGGCAGAGGAUUUACACAAACUUGAAUGUAAUGGAAAGACCAUGUUGUGCGCAAGCACUAAUGUA
This 168-nucleotide unclassified non-coding RNA is filed under the name uncultured Sebacina. RNAcentral describes it as "sequence contains ITS1". The record is from RNAcentral. Lineage: Eukaryota; Fungi; Basidiomycota; Agaricomycetes; Sebacinales; Sebacinaceae.